GGUUGUUUGGCCGAGCGGUCUAAGGCGCCUGAUUCAAGAAGUUCUCUUCUUAACGCUGUCGUACAGCGGGAUCCUCAGGUAUCGUAAGAUGCAAGAGUUCGAAUCUCUUAGCAACCA
Molecule: transfer RNA, 117 nt
Rfam family: tRNA
About the family: Transfer RNA (tRNA) molecules are approximately 80 nucleotides in length. Their secondary structure includes four short double-helical elements and three loops (D, anti-codon, and T loops).